UAAAACGCUUCAGGUGAUACCCCUUCAUGAACAGCACCAUUAGCUCCUCCAUUUUCAACAGCUGUAAUGAUACCUGCACGAAUAACCCAAUCACCAAAGUGUUCACCAUCUUCACGCUCCAAGGCGUAACGCUUGAUAAGCGGACGCAACAAAUUGAGGAUUUCUUUUUCUUGAACGGAAGAGCGAUAUAGCUUGUUUAAUCUCUGACCGUAAAAUCCUCCACCAAGCAUUAGAUUGUAAGUAUUUGGUGCCUUACCGACACACGCAAUUUCAGCAACCCA
Non-coding RNA from Schizosaccharomyces pombe (fission yeast), 281 nucleotides. NCBI's taxonomy places the organism in Eukaryota, Fungi, Ascomycota, Schizosaccharomycetes, Schizosaccharomycetales, Schizosaccharomycetaceae. The record is from the annotation of a GenBank genome assembly.